UAGAGUUUGAUCCUGGCUCAGAACGAACGCUGGCGGCAUGCCUAACACAUGCAAGUCGAACGAACCCUUCGGGGUGAGUGGCGCACGGGUGCGUAACGCGUGGGAACCUGCCCUUAGGUUCGGAAUAACAGCGAGAAAUUGCUGCUAAUACCGGAUAAUGUCUUCGGACCAAAGAUUUAUCGCCUUUGGAUGGGCCCGCGUUGGAUUAGCUAGUUGGUGAGGUAAAGGCUCACCAAGGCGACGAUCCAUAGCUGGUCUUAGAGGAUGAUCAGCCACACUGGGACUGAGACACGGCCCAGACUCCUACGGGAGGCAGCAGUGGGGAAUAUUGGACAAUGGGCGAAAGCCUGAUCCAGCAAUGCCGCGUGAGUGAUGAAGGCCUUAGGGUUGUAAAGCUCUUUUACCAGGGAUGAUAAUGACAGUACCUGGAGAAUAAGCUCCGGCUAACUCCGUGCCAGCAGCCGCGGUAAUACGGAGGGAGCUAGCGUUGUUCGGAAAUACUGGGCGUAAAGCGAACGUAGGCGGUCUAGUAAGUCAGGGGUGAAAUCCCGGAGCUCAACUCCGGAACUGCCCUUGAAACUACUAAACUAGAAUCCUGGAGAGGUCAGUGGAAUUCCGAGUGUAGAGGUGAAAUUCGUAGAUAUUCGGAAGAACACCAGUGGCGAAGGCGACUGACUGGACAGGUAUUGACGCUGAGGUUCGAAAGCGUGGGGAGCAAACAGGAUUAGAUACCCUGGUAGUCCACGCCGUAAACGAUGAUAACUAGCUGUCCGGGCUCAUAGAGCUUGGGUGGCGCAGCUAACGCAUUAAGUUAUCCGCCUGGGGAGUACGGUCGCAAGAUUAAAACUCAAAGGAAUUGACGGGGGCCUGCACAAGCGGUGGAGCAUGCGGUUUAAUUCGAAGCAACGCGCAGAACCUUACCAGCCUUUGACAUCCUUCGGCGGUUACGAGAGAUCGUUUCCUUCCUUCGGGACGAAGUGACAGGUGCUGCAUGGCUGUCGUCAGCUCGUGUCGUGAGAUGUUGGGUUAAGUCCCGCAACGAGCGCAACCCUCAUCCUUAGUUGCCAUCAUUUAGUUGGGCACUUUAAG
RNAcentral lists this ribosomal RNA (1089 nucleotides) under uncultured Lutibacterium sp. Its description in RNAcentral is "bacterial SSU rRNA". It matches the Rfam family "Bacterial small subunit ribosomal RNA", at positions 1 to 1144 of the family's 1533-position model. Lineage: Bacteria; Pseudomonadati; Pseudomonadota; Alphaproteobacteria; Sphingomonadales; Sphingomonadaceae. The record is from RNAcentral.